UAUAAUUAAUGAAAAGUUAGAUUUUAUCAAAAUAUAAAAAAAUAACAAAUCUUUUAAGAAAUAAAUUAUUUACUGAAAAGGUACAAAUUAAUAAACUAAAAGAAUAAUAAAGUACCUUUAGUAUCAGGGGAAAUUUAAUAGUAAUUUUAUAAAAGUAAUUCCCGAAAUAUAGAGAACUAUAAAAUUAUAAAAUUACUUGUGAAAUAAAGUUUACUAAUAAGAUUAUAGAAGAAAAAUUCCAAACAAGCUAUACAAUAUCUGGUUAUUUAGGAAAUUAAUUUAAUUAAAGAAUAAAGAUAAAUAAUAAUGAAAUUUUUAUUAUUCAAAAACUCCUAAGGAUAAGCUUAGUAGAAAAUUAAAAUUUUAAUUAAAUUAUUUUUUUUAAGAUUAAAAUAAACAAUUUAGUUCUUAAUAGAUUAAAAUAAAAUUAUUUAAUUUCUUUAAACUUAAAUUUUUACUAAAAUUAAAUAAUUAAUAUUAAUUAAUUAAAAUAAUGAUUUCAUAAGUAUAAAUUUUAAUUAAAAAAAUAUGAACUCGACAAAAAUUUUAUUCAACCGUUUAUCAAAAACAUUUCUUUUAGAAAAUAAUUGAAAGUAAAUUCUGCCCUAUGAAUAAUUAAAUGGCUGCAGUAUAAUGACUGUACAAAGGUAGCAUAAUAAUUAGUUUAUUAAUUGUAAACUGGAAUGAAAGAAUAAAUGAAAUACAAAUUUUAUUUUUAUUAAAAUUAAAAAUUUAUCUUUAAGUAAAAAAGCUUAAAUUAACUUUAGGGACGAGAAGACCCUAUAGAACUUAAUUUUUUAUGAACAAUUUAAUUCAUGAAAUAUUUUAUUGGGGUGAUAAUUAAAUUAUAAAACUUUAAUUUUAAAAAUCACCUUAAAUGUUUAGUUGAUCCAAAUGACUGAAAGAAAGAAAAAGUUACCUUAGGGAUAACAGCGUAAUUUUAAUGGAAAGUUCAAAUUUAUAUUAAAGAUUGCGACCUCGAUGUUGAAUUAAGAAAAACUUAAGGGGUAGAUUCUUUAAGAAAUAGUCUGUUCGACUAAAAAUUCUUACAUGAUUUGAGUUAAAACCGGUGUAAGCCAGGUUGGUUUCUAUCUUAAAAAAAUAAUAAUUAUUAGUACGAAAGGACCAUAAAUAUCUAUAUACAUAGAAAGAUUCUAACU
Molecule: ribosomal RNA, 1160 nt
Filed under: Ledra auditura
Lineage: Eukaryota; Metazoa; Arthropoda; Insecta; Hemiptera; Cicadellidae
Description: 16S ribosomal RNA
Source: RNAcentral